This 1778-nucleotide long non-coding RNA is filed under the name Taeniopygia guttata (zebra finch). Its description in RNAcentral is "lncRNA (ENSTGUG00000024784.1)". Lineage: Eukaryota; Metazoa; Chordata; Aves; Passeriformes; Estrildidae. The record is from RNAcentral.
UUUUUUUUUUUUUUGGUUGGUUUCAUUUAGUUUUGGGGUUUGUUUUUUGGUUUUUGGGUGGGGUUUUUUUGUGUUUGGUUUUGGUUUUGUUUUAGGUCUUUUUCAAGUCUUUACCCUUUACCACAGGCUUCCCAUCCCCUACCACCCAUACUCUCUCUUUCCUCUGCCUAGUUUCAGAGUAAGGAAUCCACACAUGAUGUUUUCUCUCCAGGAUAUGGUGAACUGGCUGGCAGGUUGUCUGAUGAGAAGGAAUCUGCCCCGGGACACCGUGGGAUCCUCUGCCUAUUGUUUGUCAUGGAAAAGGGAAGAUACCUGCAUUCAGCCACUACAGAAACCAGGAAUGCCAGCUCAAAAUCUGGAACAUGAUGCUGCUGUGGCUGAAGGAGGCUCAACCCCACGUCCUUGGCCACCCAGGUGCGUUCACAGGGGUCCCACAGCCGGGGGUCCCUGGGUGCCCCGAGCUGCCUGGCUGUGGGGUGUGUGGGGCACAGGGGGCCGGGAUGCGCUGCUGGAUGGUCUGGGUUGCUUUGCUGAAGCCUGGGCCAGGACCCCCGACAGCCUCCAGCUUAUCCCCACGUCCGCAGCGGGUUCUGCCCGCUCGCUGGACACGCUCAAAGUUCAGGGUGCUAUAAAUACCCGGGCACAGGGCUGCCAGCCCGGCGCGGGGGGUGGGGGCUGCUAAAUCCCAACGGGCUUUCGUUCCAAUUAACCCUGUGCGUGCACCAGUCCCCUCUGUGCGCUUUGAAAAAGAGGAACCCUUCCAUUCGAAAUGUGUCUAAAGCCAGAAGAGAGCAGCAAACUCCUUCUGUGGGCUGAUUCCUGCUGAGAAGAGCCCUGGGGUUGGUACCAGGACUGUAAGAGCACAGGGCCCUGGAGGAGGUUGCAGUGGAUGUGUGUUUUGUGGCCAGCAACACCCACAGCUGCCGUGUGACCCCCCCAGCUUGGGCAGGUCCUUGUGUUGGCAAUGCAGUGGUGUGGAUUCAGCAUGGCUUGGGUCCCCCCAUAAAGCAGAGGCUGCCUGUGCACCCCACAUUCCCCACAGAUCAUGGCUUCAUGCUACACAGCCCCACACUCUGCCCCCCACAGAACACGACCCCACCCAACAUGGCCCCACAGAGCACAGCCCCAAACCCAGCCCUGUAUGUCCCCAUACACCGCAGCCCUGUGCCCCCCAGCCUGCCCUGUGUCCCGGGCACCACCUGCAGGACUUCUCUGAAGCGCUAAAACGCAUCGAAGAACUUGAAGGGCAACAGAAACUCACUAAAUCAGUACAGGCUCCAACCCCACCUUGGGAACAAGCCCAAAACGUGCAGUCCCCAGCGGUGCCAGGUCACCCGAGGUAGAGCACAGCACGUCACCUGCAGCAGGGUGUGAAGCAGCUCCCUGGGGAGCCGCACCGAGGAGACGCCUGUGACCCCACCCACAGCUGUACACAGCCCUUUUGUGGUGCCAAACCUUAUCUUUUUAACCAUUUCCCUCCCACACCUUACCCCGCCGGGCUGAGGGGAGAGGCAGUCUGUGAGGAAGAGCCUCUUGCCCCUUUUUCCUACUCAAACCACGGGCGAUGGGAAACUCGGAGAGAACAGAGGACAAGCCACAGCGGCAGAGCCCCGCGGGCUGCGUGCUACCCCCGGCUCCUGCUGGGGCUGGACACAGCUCAGUGCACACAGGGCUCAGUGACAGCGGCCCAGGACUGGCCGAAGGUGAUCUCCAGCUCCAUGGGGCCAGGCUGCACAUCCCCAUGGCCUCGCAGGCAGGGGCUGACCCUGUCCCAUGCC